This is a long non-coding RNA of Panicum virgatum (switchgrass), 810 nucleotides long. RefSeq lists it as uncharacterized. The record is from RefSeq and is a predicted model, not a curated record. Lineage: Eukaryota; Viridiplantae; Streptophyta; Magnoliopsida; Poales; Poaceae. The transcript is spliced from 3 exons.
CGAUCUCCCAGAGCAGCGCCGGCGGUCGCCACGCGGUCCAAGGCCGAACAGGCGGAGUCUCUUGACUCCUGCGAGCUCAAGGUUGUUGUCACUACGGCCGUGCUCCUUUCAACUGCCGGCAAUACCUGGCCGGGUUGCAUCUCUUGGCGCGCGUCAUGCUGUACGACUCGUGCUGUUCUCCAAAGCUCGUCGUAGCUGCAGAUUUAUUUUCUGUAUGUUGCUCAGAUCUACCUGUUAAAUUUGACAACAAUAGAGAUUUUUUUGUAGGAAGGGAGAUCUAUUACGGAGGAAGUAUUGUGGCAUUACCUGUCAAAGUAUACAUUGGAAAUGCUAUGUAUAAAAAAAAUUGCAUUGUAGAGAAGCAGAUCGGAGAGAAAUGUUUACAUCCCCUUCUUCAAGGUUGUCACUGAUUAACAAGUGCAAUUUGCAUCCGAACCCCUUCCCGAGAGCUGUCGGCAGCUCAGUCUGUGUGCUUUCUCGUGGCAAACUCCCAGUGCUCUGGCGUCCUGGAACUAGGCGAUCUCAUCCAUACCCCAAUUAAUCACCACAUGGUUGCAUUACUACCAAGAAGCUUGGAACUGAGCAAAGCUGCAGGGCAUGAUCUAGAUUGAUGCUUGAUGUACACAUGUAAUGUUUAUGUUGUUGGAUGGAAUGUUGAGAGUUUGUAAUUGAUGUGGUAAGGAUGUUAUUGAGAUCUGAUAUGUAUCAGCCUAUGGUAAACUAGAAACUGAGUUAUUGUUCAAUUUGAUGUGUCAAAAAAAUUACAAUCCUUUUUGUAUGGGCAUUAUAGCUUGUUUUUGUUGGCUGUAA